ACCUACGGGAGGCAGCAGUGGGGGAUAUUGCACAAUGGGGGGAACCCUGAUGCGGCGACGCCGCGUGGGCGAUGGAGCGCCUCGGCGCGUAAAGCCCUAUCAGCAGGGAAGAAGAUGACGGUACCUGACUAAGAAGCCCCGGCUAAAUACGUGCCAGCAGCCGCGGUAAUACGUAUGGGGCAAGCGUUAUCCGGAUUUACUGGGUGUAAAGGGAGCGCAGGCGGCCUGGCAAGCCUGAUGUGAACUACCGGGGCCCAACCCAGGGGCUGCAUUGGGAACUGCCAGGCUGGAGUGCCGGAGAGGCA
Molecule: ribosomal RNA, 305 nt
Filed under: uncultured bacterium
Lineage: Bacteria
Description: bacterial SSU rRNA
Rfam family: Bacterial small subunit ribosomal RNA
Source: RNAcentral